Molecule: ribosomal RNA, 470 nt
Filed under: uncultured organism
Description: bacterial SSU rRNA
Rfam family: Bacterial small subunit ribosomal RNA
Source: RNAcentral
AACGAACGCUGGCGGCGUGGCUAAGACAUGCAAGUCGAACGGACCUGUUAAUUUAUUAGCAGGUCAGUGGCGAAAGGGUGAGUAAUGGAUAGGUAACGUGCCCUGUGCUCUGGGAUAGCCAUCCGAAAGGGUGGGUAAUACCGGAUGAUAUCACCGGCUGACGGGUUGGUGAUCAAAGAUUUAUCGGCGCAGGAGCGGCCUAUCUCCUAUCAGCUAGUUGGUGAGGUAACGGCCCACCAAGGCGAUGACGGGUAGCGGGACUGAGAGGUUGGCCCGCCACAUCGGAACUGAGAUACUGUCCGGACCCCCACGGGGGGCUGCAGUAACGGAUAUUGGGCAAUGGGCGAAAGCCUGACCCAGCGACGCCGCGUGCGGGAGGAAGCCCUUCGGGGUGUAAACCGCUGUCAGGGGUAUGAAAGUCCACUUCGGUGGAUUGAUCUAACCCAAAGGAAGUCACGGCUAACUCUGUG